Molecule: long non-coding RNA, 698 nt
Filed under: Rattus norvegicus (Norway rat)
Lineage: Eukaryota; Metazoa; Chordata; Mammalia; Rodentia; Muridae
Description: long non-coding RNA NONRATT001647
Source: RNAcentral
GAAAGGCAAGUGCCACCAUGCCCAGCUCUAUGCUGAAUUCUUACAGAAUAAAAACCAUAAAAGCCGGGCCACAAGCUACUGAUACCAGUGGUUCAGGGGAAAUGCUUCAGUCUGUCUCUGGAGAAGACUGUUCUGAAAAUCUCGGCCUUGUGGCUUAGAAUCCUCUGCCUGUCUUUCUCCUGCUAAUUUCUGAAGAUGGACUAUUAAAAUUCUACACUUCUGUCCCCAUCCUGUAAAUAAAACCCAACAAAAACUCGUUCUUAAUGUGGACGGAUUCAGAACAGCCAUGUUUCUGUAGUGCCCUUAACUCAUCUUAAACCCGUGCUUUUAUAUUUGAGAAGCCAGAAAUCGUGCCAAAGAUAACAGAAAGGUAAACGAGUGUUGACCAUGGCCACCUGAAGGCUACAGCCUGACCCUCACAGUGACCAGUGACUCCGAACUUUGAAGUACAAAUAUCCCUAUUCUUUAUAGGAAGCAAAUCUAAAUCUAAAUGAGGUUGGAUGAAUACUUUAUGUAGGAAUGGCUGGUUCUGUCCCCUUAUCAGGUGGUUCUUGUCUGUGGCACUGAAUUAAUUGGCAGAGCUGUCCACGAGUUCACUGGGGUCAUCCUUGUAACCAGCUGCUUAACACACUGUGCUGUUAUCUCAAGAGGACGCGUUCCAUUUUUCUCAAUAAACAUCUCCCACACUUUCUCCCUUA